GACGAACGCUGGCGGCGCGCUUAACACAUGCAAGUCGAACGGAAAGGCCUGCUUUCCCUUGUGGAUUGCGGGUACUCGAGUGGCGAACGGGUGAGUAACACGUGAGUGAUCUGCCCCCAACUUGGGUAUAGGCAUGGGAAACUGGGUCUAAUUCUAUAUGGGACUGCGGUGGGGUGCCGGUGGUGGAACGCGUUUUUAUAGUGGUGGGGGAUGAGCGCGCGGCCGCUCAGCUUGUUGGGGGGGAAGUUGCCUAAUAAGGGGGCGACGGGUAGCCGGCCGGGGAGGGUGGACGGCCACAUUGGGACUGGGUCACGGCCCAGACUCCUACGGGAGGCAGCAGUGGGGAAUAUUGCACAGUGGGCGGAAGCCUGAUGCAGCGACGCCGCGUGGGGGAUGACGGCCUUCGGGUUGUAAACUCCUUUCGACCGCGAGGAAGCCACCUGGUUGGAAGGGUGGUGACGGUAGUGGUAGAAGAAGCACCGGCUAACUACGUG
RNAcentral lists this ribosomal RNA (494 nucleotides) under uncultured bacterium. RNAcentral's name for it is "partial 16S ribosomal RNA". It matches the Rfam family "Bacterial small subunit ribosomal RNA", at positions 28 to 507 of the family's 1533-position model. The record is from RNAcentral.